GUGAAUCAUCGAAUCUUUGAACGCAAAUUGCACUCUCUGGUAUUCCGGAGAGUAUGCCUGUUUGAGGGUCAGUUUAAAUCAAAAGCGGUGUGGUUGCUGCCUUUCGUGGUGACGCAGCGGAUGUGGGUCGUCUUGCCUUCGGGUAAGAGACCUUAAAUGUGGCAUGAUUUUUUUCGAAUGUAUUUAAAUAAUUUUACGGACGUUUGCGAUAUCGAAUACUAGUUGUGUUCAUCCUCAUGCUUCGCGCCUGUAAUUUUUCAUCAA
RNAcentral lists this unclassified non-coding RNA (264 nucleotides) under Glomus sp. RNAcentral's name for it is "partial contains 5.8S ribosomal RNA and internal transcribed spacer 2". The stretch from base 1 to 71 matches the Rfam family "5.8S ribosomal RNA", at positions 84 to 154 of the family's 154-position model. The record is from RNAcentral. Lineage: Eukaryota; Fungi; Glomeromycota; Glomeromycetes; Glomerales; Glomeraceae.